UUGAACGCUGGCGGCAGGCCUAACACAUGCAAGUCGAGCGGAUGAGGGGAGCUUGCUCCUGGAUUCAGCGGCGGACGGGUGAGUAAUGCCUAGGAAUCUGCCUGGUAGUGGGGGAUAACGUCCGGAAACGGGCGCUAAUACCGCAUACGUCCUGAGGGAGAAAGUGGGGGAUCUUCGGACCUCACGCUAUCAGAUGAGCCUAGGUCGGAUUAGCUAGUUGGUGGGGUAAAGGCCUACCAAGGCGACGAUCCGUAACUGGUCUGAGAGGAUGAUCAGUCACACUGGAACUGAGACACGGUCCAGACUCCUACGGGAGGCAGCAGUGGGGAAUAUUGGACAAUGGGCGAAAGCCUGAUCCAGCCAUGCCGCGUGUGUGAAGAAGGUCUUCGGAUUGUAAAGCACUUUAAGUUGGGAGGAAGGGCAGUAAGUUAAUACCUUGCUGUUUUGACGUUAACAACAGAAUAAGCACCGGCUAACUUCGUG
This 483-nucleotide ribosomal RNA is filed under the name uncultured bacterium. RNAcentral describes it as "partial 16S ribosomal RNA". It matches the Rfam family "Bacterial small subunit ribosomal RNA", at positions 30 to 507 of the family's 1533-position model. The record is from RNAcentral.